Molecule: ribosomal RNA, 327 nt
Filed under: uncultured eukaryote
Lineage: Eukaryota
Description: partial 18S ribosomal RNA
Rfam family: Eukaryotic small subunit ribosomal RNA
Source: RNAcentral
CCCUUAGAUGUUCUGGGCCGCACGCGCGUUACACUGAUGCAUUCAACAAGUUCUUUCACCUUGGCCGAGAGGCCUGGGCAAUCUUUGAACGUGCAUCGUGAUAGGGAUAGAUUAUUGCAAUUAUUAAUCUUGAACGAGGAAUUCCUAGUAAACGCAGAUCAUCAAUCUGCAUUGAUUACGUCCCUGCCCUUUGUACACACCGCCCGUCGCACCUACCGAUUGAAUGGUCCGGUGAAGCCUCGGGAUUGCGGCUGGUUCCCUUUAUUGGGGAUCGGUUGCGAGAACUUGUCUAAACCUUAUCAUUUAGAGGAAGGUGAAGUCGUAACA